Molecule: ribosomal RNA, 424 nt
Filed under: uncultured archaeon
Lineage: Archaea
Description: partial 16S ribosomal RNA
Rfam family: Archaeal small subunit ribosomal RNA
Source: RNAcentral
CUACGGGCGGCUGCAGUCGCGAAAACUUUUCAAUGCACGAAAGUGUGAAAAGGGAACCCCAAGUGCUUUGCUUUUUAAGUAAGGCUUUUGUUAAGUGUAAGUAGCUUAACGAAUAAGUGGUGGGUAAGACUGGUGCCAGCCGCCGCGGUAACACCAGCGCCACAAGUGGUGACCAUGAUUAUUGGGUCUAAAGCAUUCGUAGCUAGUUUAUUAACUCUCUUGUGAAAUCGUUGGGCUUAACUCAACUACGUGCAAGAAAAACUGAUAAACUUGAGACCGGAAGAAGAUAAGAGAAUUCCAAGGGGAGCGGUAAAAUGUUAUAAUCCUUGGAAGACUACCAAUGGCGAAAGCACUUAUCUAGGACGGCUCUGACAGUGAGGAAUGAAAGCCAAGGGAGCAAAACGGAUUAGAUACCCCAGUAGUC